This 301-nucleotide ribosomal RNA is filed under the name uncultured bacterium. Its description in RNAcentral is "partial 16S ribosomal RNA". It matches the Rfam family "Bacterial small subunit ribosomal RNA", at positions 509 to 807 of the family's 1533-position model. The record is from RNAcentral.
CAGUAGCCACGGUAAUACAGAGGGUGCGAGCGUUAAUCGGAUUUACUGGGCGUAAAGCGUGCGUAGGCGGCUUCUUAAGUCGGAUGUGAAAUCCCUGAGCUUAACUUAGGAAUUGCAUUCGAUACUGGGAAGCUAGAGUAUGGGAGAGGAUGGUAGAAUUCCAGGUGUAGCGGUGAAAUGCGUAGAGAUCUGGAGGAAUACCGAUGGAGAAGGCAGCCAUCUGGCCUAAUACUGACGCUGAGGUACGAAAGCAUGGGGAGCAAACAGGAUUAGAUACCCGCGUAGUCCCUGUCUCUUAUAC